This 544-nucleotide ribosomal RNA is filed under the name Allobates femoralis group sp. ABGD cluster 9. RNAcentral's name for it is "partial large subunit ribosomal RNA". It matches the Rfam family "Bacterial large subunit ribosomal RNA", at positions 1808 to 2575 of the family's 2925-position model. The record is from RNAcentral. Lineage: Eukaryota; Metazoa; Chordata; Amphibia; Anura; Aromobatidae.
CAAAAACAUCGCCUCUUGAUCAAUCAUAAGAGGUCAAGCCUGCCCAGUGACAUUGUUCAACGGCCGCGGUAUCCUAACCGUGCGAAGGUAGCGUAAUCACUUGUCCUUUAAAUAAGGACUAGUAUGAACGGCUUCACGAAGGCUAUACUGUCUCCUUAAUCUAAUCAGUUAAACUAAUCUCCCCGUGAAGAAGCGGGGAUUCAUAUAUAAGACGAGAAGACCCUAUGGAGCUUUAAACAUCUAAGACACUUGAUUACACCCACUAAACUUCAUGCAACCUAUCAUUUUGUCUUAAGUUUUAGGUUGGGGUGACCACGGAGAAAAAUUGAACCUCCACGUAGAAAGAAAAUUCUUUUCUAAGCAAAAAGCCACAUCUUAACGCAUCAAUAUACUGACUUAAAUUGACCCAAUUUCUUGCUCAACGAACCAAGUUACCCUAGGGAUAACAGCGCAAUCCGCUUUAAGAGCUCCUAUCGACAAGCGGGCUUACGACCUCGAUGUUGGAUCAGGGUAUCCUAAUGGUGCAGCAGCUAUUAACGGUUCG